RNAcentral lists this ribosomal RNA (354 nucleotides) under uncultured bacterium. Its description in RNAcentral is "bacterial SSU rRNA". It matches the Rfam family "Bacterial small subunit ribosomal RNA", at positions 8 to 349 of the family's 1533-position model. The record is from RNAcentral.
AGAGUUUGAUCCUGGCUCAGGAUGAACGCUAGCUACAGGCUUAACACAUGCAAGUCGAGGGGAAACGACAUCGAAAGCUUGCUUUUGAUGGGCGUCGACCGGCGCACGGGUGAGUAACGCGUAUGCAACCUGCCCUUCACAGGGGGAUAACCGGGAGAAAUUCCGACUAAUACCGCAUACGUCCUCCGGGGGCAUCCCCGGGGGAUGAAAGAAUUAUCGGUGAAGGAUGGGCAUGCGUGAUAUUAGGUAGUUGGCGGGGCAACGGCCCACCAAGGCCCACGAUAUCUAGGGGUUCUGAGAGGAAGGUCCCCCGACAUUGGUACCUGAGACACGGACCAAACUCCUACGGGAGCA